CCUACGGGUGGCAGCAGUGGGGAAUAUUGCACAAUGGGCGAAACCCUGAUGCAGCAACGCCGCGUGAGUGAGGAAGUACUUCGGUUUGUAAAGCUCUAUCAGUAGGGAAUAGCGAUGAAGGUCCCUGAAAAUGUAGUCUCGGCUAACUACGUACCAGCAGCCGCGGUAAUACGCAGGGGGCCAGCGUCAUACGGAUGGACUGGGUGUAAAGGGAGCGUAGGCGGAAAGGCAAGUCAGGAGUGAAAGCCCAAGGCUCAACCAUGGAACUGCUGUUGAAACUGGCAAACUAGAGUACGGGAGAGGUAAGAGGAAUUCCGAGUGUAGCGGUGAAAUGCGUAGAUAUUAGGAGGAACACCAGUGGCGAAGGCGUCUUACUGGACCGAAACUGACGUUGAGGCUCGAAAGCGUGGGGAGCAAACAGGAUUAGAUACCCGGGUAGUC
This 441-nucleotide ribosomal RNA is filed under the name uncultured bacterium. RNAcentral's name for it is "partial 16S ribosomal RNA". It matches the Rfam family "Bacterial small subunit ribosomal RNA", at positions 338 to 795 of the family's 1533-position model. The record is from RNAcentral.